Molecule: non-coding RNA, 706 nt
Organism: Schizosaccharomyces pombe (fission yeast)
Lineage: Eukaryota; Fungi; Ascomycota; Schizosaccharomycetes; Schizosaccharomycetales; Schizosaccharomycetaceae
Source: the annotation of a GenBank genome assembly
UUGUUUAGCAGAAAAAUUUGACUCCAUGUUAGUGAGCUUUUUUUGAAAAUAUGACACGUCUUCCUCUGAUGUUAACGUGGUUACACUUGAGGUAUUCUUAUCCUUUUUAUUCGAAGAUGACAAUUGCAAGGAGAGAAUUCCGUUUUCAUGUUCAAGGGCAGCCAGUUUGGACCGCACUUGCUUCAACUCAUUUAAAAGGUUGGAUUUUUGAGUUACUGAGUUAAUGUCGAGAAUCGGACUAUCAAGUAAACCACCGCGGACUAAUAGCCAGCUGGCAUUAGAAGGAGAACGAGGUGUCAAAGGUAAUGCUGAAGAAGCAGUUGAGCCUUCAGAAGAGCCUAAUUUCGCAUCAAUUGAAAGGUCACUGUGCCUACGCAUUCCCCUUACUUCUUGACGCUUUAACUCCUCUGAGGAAUCUUCAUGUUGACUUGAUGUGUCACCGUCUUCUGCAAGUUGUCCUGUUGAAGCUCUUGAAAUAUUGGGUCUUGGUGUUUCGAGAUCAGAAUCAAUAAAUGGUGAUGCAGCAGAGCUCACAAGACUACUCGCUGAUUCUUCAUCCAAAUCAGAAGUAUUCGAACCAGAAGACGACUGAUUCGACAUCUGUCGUUGGUAAAUAAACGAUUUGGGUUGUUUAGAAAUGACAACUCUCUGAAGCAACAAAGCAAUAGUGAUAAGGUAUCGGCAUGUUUUAUCGGUAUUUAGCUUU